Molecule: ribosomal RNA, 411 nt
Filed under: uncultured bacterium
Lineage: Bacteria
Description: bacterial SSU rRNA
Rfam family: Bacterial small subunit ribosomal RNA
Source: RNAcentral
AAUCAACGCUGGCGGCGUGCCUCAGACAUGCAAGUCGAACGAUUAAAGCUCUCUUCGGAGAGUGCAUAGAGUGGCGCACGGGUGAGUAACACGUAAGUAAUCUACCUUCGAGUGGGGAAUAACGUCCGGAAACGGACGCUAAUACCGCAUAAUGCAGCGGCAUCGCAAGAUGACAGUUGUUAAAGAUUUAUCGCUUGAAGAGGAGCUUGCGGCAGAUUAGCUAGUUGGUAAGGUAAUGGCUUACCAAGGCUACGAUCUGUAACCGGUCUAAGAGGACGGUCGGUCACACUGACACUGAAUAACGGGUCAGACUCCUACGGGAGGCAGCAGUCGGGAAUUUUGGGCAAUGGGCGAAAGCCUGACCCACGCAACGCCGCGUGAAGGAUGAAGUAUUUCGGUAUAGUAAACUUA